RNAcentral lists this transfer RNA (64 nucleotides) under Eledone cirrhosa (curled octopus). RNAcentral describes it as "tRNA-His". Lineage: Eukaryota; Metazoa; Mollusca; Cephalopoda; Octopoda; Eledonidae. The record is from RNAcentral.
AUGAAAUUAGUUUAUUUAAAAUACUAGGUUGUGGGCUUAGAGAAAAAUAUUAUUUUAUUUCAUU